AGAGUUUGAUCCUGGCUCAGAACGAACGCUGGCGGCGUGCCUAACACAUGCAAGUCGAGCGCGAAAGUCCCUUCGGGGGCAAGUAGAGCGGCGGACGGGUGAGUAAUACGUGGAUAAUCUUCCCUCGAGCUUGGGAUAACCCUGCGAAAGCGGGGCUAAUACCGGAUAAGACCACAUGUCAUAUGCCAUGUGGUAGAAGGUGGCUUGUAUUUAUAUGAGCUAUCACUUGAGGAUGAGUCCAUGGCCUAUCAGCUUGUUGGUGAGGUAAGAGCUCACCAAGGCUAUGACGGGUAGCUGGUCUGAGAGGACGACCAGCCACACUGGGACUGAGAUACGGCCCAGACUCCUACGGGAGGCAGCAGUGGGGAAUAUUGGGCAAUGGGCGCAAGCCUGACCCAGCGACGCCGCGUGGGUGAUGAAGGCCUUCGGGUUGUAAAACCCUUUCGUGCGGAAAGAACAGUCUCGUAGCGAAUACCUACGGGAUUUGACGGUACCGCAGGAAGAAGCACCGGCUAACUCCGUGCCAGCAGCCGCGGUAAUACGGAGGGUGCAAGCGUUGUUCGGAAUUAUUGGGCGUAAAGGGCGCGUAGGCGGUAGUGAAAGUCAGAUGUGAAAUCCUCCGGCUCAACUGGAGAACUGCAUCUGAAACUUCACAACUCGAGUACAGGAGAGGGAAACGGAAUUCCCGGUGUAGAGGUGAAAUUCGUAGAUAUCGGGAGGAACACCAGUGGCGAAGGCGGUUUCCUGGCCUGAUACUGACGCUGAGGCGCGAAAGCGUGGGGAGCAAACAGGAUUAGAUACCCUGGUAGUC
This 811-nucleotide ribosomal RNA is filed under the name uncultured bacterium. RNAcentral describes it as "bacterial SSU rRNA". It matches the Rfam family "Bacterial small subunit ribosomal RNA", at positions 8 to 795 of the family's 1533-position model. The record is from RNAcentral.